UCAGUUUCUCUCUGGAAUUCAAGAAAAAAUCUAUUCCAUAAAAUCAUCAAUUAUUUCAUUUUCAUACAUAUAAUAAAAAUAGGAAUAUUAUUUUGAAAGACAUAGUUAAUCUAAACUUUUUGAGAUGAAGUAACAAAUAGCCUAAAAAUUUUAAGACAAAAAAUAUUUUUUAAUUAUUUUUUGAUUAAAUAAAUACCAAUAAUAGAAAAAGAUAACUAGACUAUUGC
RNAcentral lists this long non-coding RNA (227 nucleotides) under Lathyrus oleraceus (garden pea). RNAcentral describes it as "Pisum sativum (pea) long non-coding RNA (PSAT_LNC004349)". Lineage: Eukaryota; Viridiplantae; Streptophyta; Magnoliopsida; Fabales; Fabaceae. The record is from RNAcentral.